Nycticebus coucang (slow loris) is the source of this 633-nucleotide RNA transcript. It is a transcript of the gene named myosin light polypeptide 6-like, with no coding region annotated. The record is from RefSeq and is a predicted model, not a curated record. NCBI's taxonomy places the organism in Eukaryota, Metazoa, Chordata, Mammalia, Primates, Lorisidae. The transcript has a single exon.
ACGGAGCAGACCAGUCAAGAUGUGUGACUUCAUGGAGGACCAGACUGCAGAAUUCAAGGAAGCCUUCCAGCUGUUUGACUGAACAGGCAAUGGCAAGAUCCUGUACAGCCAGUGUGGGGAUGUGAUGAGGGCCCUGGGCCAGAACCCUACCAAUGCCAAGGUACUCAAGAUCCUGGGGAACCCCAAGAGUGAUGAGAUGAAUGUGAAGGUGUUGGACUUUGAGCACUUUCUGCCCACGCUGCAGACUGUGGCCAAGAACAAGGACCAAGGCAUUUAUGAGGAUUACGUUGAAGGUCUUCGGGUAUUUGACAAGGAAGGGAAUGGCACGGUCAUGGGUGCUGAAAUCCGGCAUGUCCUUGUCACACUGGGUGAGAAGAUGACAGAGGAAGAAGUCGAGAUGCUGGUGGCAGAACAUGAGGACAGUAAUGCUUGUAUCAACCAUGAAGAGCUCGUCCGUAUGGUGCUGAAUGGCUGAGGACCGUCCCAUAUCCCCAGAGCCCAUGCCUUUUUCUGUGUGAGACAGUAUCUAGCCUGAAGGUGUCCUAGGCGCUCUGGUCACAGCACCUUUCCCAUCUUGUCUCUUUGGGACGAUGUUUGCCAUCAGCAUUCACCAAAUAAACUUAUUCUUUGUGC